This 435-nucleotide ribosomal RNA is filed under the name uncultured bacterium. RNAcentral's name for it is "bacterial SSU rRNA". It matches the Rfam family "Bacterial small subunit ribosomal RNA", at positions 29 to 507 of the family's 1533-position model. The record is from RNAcentral.
AACGAACGCUGGCGGCAGCCUUAACACAUGCAAGUCGAGCGCCCUGUUUCGGCAGGGAGCGGCGGACGGGUGAGUAACGCGUGGGAACGUGCCCUUUAGUUCAGAAUAGCCACUGGAAACGGUGAGUAAUACUGGAUACGCCCUUCGGGGGAAAGAUUUAUCGCUAAAGGAUCGGCCCGCGUUGGAUUAGCUAGUUGGUGGGGUAAAGGCCUACCAAGGCGACGAUCUAUAGCUGGUUUUAGAGGAUGAUCAGCAACACUGGGACUGAGACACGGCCCAGACUCCUACGGGAGGCAGCAGUGGGGAAUCUUAGACAAUGGGGGCAACCCUGAUCUAGCCAUGCCGCGUGAGUGAUGAAGGCCUUAGGGUCGUAAAGCUCUUUCGCCUGUGAUGAUAAUGACAGUAGCAGGUAAAGAAACCCCGGCUAACUCCGUG